UAUUGUUUUUUCUGCUUCACUGUCUUCCUUGCCCAUUUCUGUAGGUUUGGAAUGAGUAACACCUUAGCUUUGGAAUGAGUAACAAAAGAUGAAAAAGCAAAUACAGUCAAACCUCGGUUCCUGAACGCCUCUGUUUUGGAACAUUUUGGCUUCCAAACGCCAAAAACCCGGAAAUGACACAGCCUUAACAGCGCACUCCAAGGAAGCUCUACAGAGACUCAUCAACCAUUUUGCCCAAACCUCCAGCACUCCAUGCAACACAUGAUUGGGGUGGUAGAUGAUUAGGUCUACCUGGGCUCCACCAUAACCAGCAACCUUUCCAUCGAUGCUGAGCUGGACAGGCGUAUUGGCAAGUAAGAAAAUGGAAGUACCUACCUAACUGCAUCCAGGUACCAAUUCAAUCCAGGGAAAACUCAGGUGAUUGUUUACAUACAGUAUUUUAUAACGCCUGAAUACAGAUCAUGUAAUGAGACUAUCUACAUAUCUCAUACAGCAACCACAUCAGGUGCUAUAACCUUCCAGCAGUUCGACUUCACCCUCAAAGGUGCUCUCCAUUGUUUCUUGAUACAGAUGGAUGCCAACCAACAGAUUUCUUGAAAGAAACCAGCACUUGUUGAAAAAUUUAGUUGCUUGCAAAUUAUUUGAGAUUUGUUGAGCCUUAAGCUACCCAAGUAGAAAAAUUGCUGUCAGUCUCACAAGGUGGUUCUGGUGAGUCUCAGUGGAUGGGUUUUCAGGUUACUACUUGCACAUUUACUACUUAUAGUUUCCCAGGAAUAGGAAGAAGAUUCUGGCUGCAAGUAUUCCAUUUCCUGUGUCAACAGAAUACAAACUAGGCAUUUAAUUCCCUCAUUCCCAGUGUACAGAUGCCUGGAGUUCACUGUACCUUUCCUCACACUGAAUUGCACAGCUUAUGUUCAUAACCUUACUAAGCAAUAAGGAAUAGACAAGGUGAAGCAGAACAAUCGAGUGCCUUGUGACCCUCGACAGCAUGACUCCUGUCCCUUUUAAAUUUAUCCCACGGAUUUGAAAUGUCUUAACUUGUAAUACCAAUAAA
Zootoca vivipara (common lizard) is the source of this 1054-nucleotide non-coding RNA. Lineage: Eukaryota; Metazoa; Chordata; Lepidosauria; Squamata; Lacertidae. The record is from RefSeq and is a predicted model, not a curated record.